RNAcentral lists this long non-coding RNA (808 nucleotides) under Pan troglodytes (chimpanzee). RNAcentral's name for it is "long non-coding RNA NONPTRT008236". The record is from RNAcentral. Lineage: Eukaryota; Metazoa; Chordata; Mammalia; Primates; Hominidae.
AGGGAGACCGGGCCGGAUUGCGGGGAGUGAGCAGGUUCAGCAGUGACGGCAUUCUUAAGAGUCCUGCCCAAUGCAUCUGAUUGCCAGCCUCGCUGGACCGUUGAGAGGAUUCAUCGAGACCCUGGAUAUGAAUAUGCAGUGUGAACUGAAGUUUGGGGACAUGAGUAAUCAGUCACAGUGGCCCAAGAUUUGAGGUGUAAAUGGAGAAGUCAGAAUGAUUCGCUGCAGCUGUCUGGAACAGGCUAUACAGGACGUGUGGUCCUGGCAGCUGCUUCUGGCGAGGGCUUCAGGAAGCUUACAAUCAUGGUGAAAGGUAAAGGGGUAGUUGGCAUAUCUCAUGGUGGGGGGAAAAGACUGGCAGGAGGUGACACGCUUUUUUGUUUGUUUGUUUGUUUAGAUGGAGUCUUGCUCUGUUGCCAGGCUGGAGUGCAGUGGCACAAUCUCGGUUCACUGCAACCUCUGCAUCCCAGGUUCAAGUGAUUCUCCUGCCUCAGCCUCCCAAGUAGCUGGGACUACAGGCGCCCGCCACCACGCCCAGCUAAUUUUUGUAUUUUUAGUAGAGACCAGGUUACACUGUGUUGGCCAGGAUGGUCUUGAUCUCGACCUUGUAAUCCGCCCGCCUCGCCCUCCCAAAGUGUUGGGAUUACAGGCAUGAGCCACCACGCUCAGCCUGACAUGCUCUUUUAAACAACUAGAUCUCAUGUGAACUCAGCGAGAUCUCACUCAUUACCUCGAGGAUGGCACCAAGCCAUUCAUGAAGGAUCCACCCCCAUGAUCCAAAUGCCUCCCACCAAGCCCUGUCUCCAGC